UACGUAGGCAGCAAGCGUUGUUCGGAAUUACUGGGCGUAAAGAGUGUGUAGGCGGUGUUCUAAGUUUGUCGUGAAAUCUCCCGGCUUAACUGGGAGGGUGCGGCGAAAACUGGAAUGCUAGAGGAUGGGAGAGGUAAGCGGAAUUCCUGGUGUAGCGGUGAAAUGCGUAGAUAUCAGGAGGAACACCUGUGGUGUAGACAGCUUACUGGACCAUUUCUGACGCUGAGACACGAAAGCGUGGGUAGCAAACAGGA
This 254-nucleotide ribosomal RNA is filed under the name uncultured prokaryote. Its description in RNAcentral is "partial 16S ribosomal RNA". It matches the Rfam family "Bacterial small subunit ribosomal RNA", at positions 524 to 777 of the family's 1533-position model. The record is from RNAcentral.